CACGUAGGCACCAAGCGUUGUCCGGAUUUAUUGGGCGUAAAGAGCUCGUAGGCGGUUCGGUAAGUCGGGUGUGAAAACUCUGGGCUCAACCCAGAGCCGCCACCUGAUACUGCUGUGACUAGAGUGCGGUAGGGGAGCGGGGAAUUCCUGGUGUAGCGGUGAAAUGCGCAGAUAUCAGGAGGAACACCGGUGGCGAAGGCGGGUCUCUGGGCUGAUACUGACGCUGAGGAGCGAAAGCGUGGGGAGCGAACAGG
Molecule: ribosomal RNA, 254 nt
Filed under: uncultured bacterium
Lineage: Bacteria
Description: partial 16S ribosomal RNA
Rfam family: Bacterial small subunit ribosomal RNA
Source: RNAcentral